This 567-nucleotide ribosomal RNA is filed under the name uncultured soil bacterium. Its description in RNAcentral is "bacterial SSU rRNA". It matches the Rfam family "Bacterial small subunit ribosomal RNA", at positions 340 to 908 of the family's 1533-position model. The record is from RNAcentral.
UACGGGAGGCAGCAGUAGGGAAUAUUGGGCAAUGCUCGCAAGAGUGACCCAGCCAUGCCGCGUGCAGGAAGAAGGCCUUCUGGGUUGUAAACUGCUUUUGGAAGGGAACAAAACGGGCAUGCGUGCCAACUUGAGUGUACCUUCAGAAUAAGCACCGGCUAACUCCGUGCCAGCAGCCGCGGUAAUACGGAGGGUGCAAGCGUUGUCCGGAUUUAUUGGGUUUAAAGGGUGCGUAGGCGGCUUAUUAAGUCAGGGGUAAAAGACUGCAGCUCAACUGUAGCAGUGCCUUUGAUACUGAUGAGCUUGAGUACAGAUGAGGCUGGCGGAAUGGGUGGUGUAGCGGUGAGAUGCAUAGAUACCAUCCAGAACACCGAUUGCGAAGGCAGCCGGCUAAACUGUAACUGACGCUGAGGCACGAAAGCGUGGGGAUCGAACAGGAUUAGAUACCCUGGUAGUCCACGCUGUAAACGAUGAAGACUCGAUGUUAGGGAUAUACUCUUAGCGUCCAAGCGAAAGCGUUAAGUCUUCCACCUGGGGAGUACGCCCGCAAGGGUGAAACUCAAAGGA